GGCCCCGAGCAUUGCGUCGGAUUGCAAACCCGAAGUCGACCAUACGGGUCCGGGGCUU
RNAcentral lists this transfer RNA (58 nucleotides) under Lichanura trivirgata (rosy boa). RNAcentral describes it as "tRNA-Cys". The record is from RNAcentral. Lineage: Eukaryota; Metazoa; Chordata; Lepidosauria; Squamata; Ungaliophiidae.